Molecule: long non-coding RNA, 1523 nt
Organism: Setaria italica (foxtail millet)
Lineage: Eukaryota; Viridiplantae; Streptophyta; Magnoliopsida; Poales; Poaceae
Exons: 3
Source: RefSeq, a predicted model, not a curated record
UCGCCGCUCAGCCAGGCUCCCGCGAUACGAAGAAGUUCGACGUUUUCCCGGAGCCAGGCUCAAGCGGUGCAGCCUGCGCAUGUGAGGUGAGCCGAAAGAGGUUGGCGCGUGUACGAGCAGAACAGGCGGAAGAAUUAACGUUACCGCCUCCUUUCCCGCCAUCCACCCUCUCUCUGCUUCACCGCCACCCGCCAUUCUCGUUCGCUCGCCAUUCUCUACUCUCUCGCUCAGUGGUGAUUCCUCCGUUCUACCCUGCGCACAAGCAAGUGGAUUCUCCUUAACUUUGAUGUUCCUCAUCCGAUUUAGCAUUCACGCCCUUUCCCUUCCGUUAGACGCAAAUCCCUUGCUUUUCUUUUUCAACCGUGCAAGGACACAACUGGAUCUGAGGUCUUUGUUUGCUCAGAGAUAACCCGCUAGCUGACGGUUUGUAUGAAUUGAUCGUCGCGUCUGAGAGUGAACAGCUCAAAGCCUCUCAAGUUGAAACGCCACAAGAUCUGAACCAAAGUUCAGAAUCCCAAGGACAGUUUGGAAGGCAAGCACCGGAGCAUGAUCACUAAUUCCAAAACUAUACAAUGUUAUUACUUAUGUAUUUUACUUUUAUGUAUUAAGUUCCUAGGAGUUGAAUGAAACCUUAGUUGCAUGAUCCCUAGGACUCCCAAGUUCAAAUAAUAGUAUGUGUAGGUCGAUAGAAAUGCCAUGCUUAAUUAGGAACGGUAGAAGUCGAGUGAUUGUCUAUCAUUCGCGAGAUAUAGGCUCCUACUUGUUAUGGAUAAAUCCUGAAAUGAACGGUUCGAAAGAGAAAAGUUGGAGACCGGGCGGAGAUAGAAAUGGUGAUAUUAUUGUUAUUGGUUGUGGUCCACCUGUGUCGAUUAAUGCCCGUCCGUUGUUGGCUCUAUUGAUCGAGUUUGAAUUGUACUAUCUACUUGCCGGAAGUAAGAAAUAGUUGAAACUAGUAAAACCUAGUAUCAUACUGCGCGAUUGUAGAUUGAGUUGGUCUUGUUUCCUAUUCAUGUGCUAGUCAGUAACUCAUGUCUGGCUCGGGAAGGUACUGGUGGUGAUUAGUACUUGAGGGUUGUAGGAGUUCUCAAAUGCUAUCGCUCUCAAAGGGAACCGUUUGCCAUAUGCAGCUCGAUGGGGCAUGCAUAUGUCGCGUGUAUAGGUUCACCUUGCAAGGUUAUUAAAUCGAAUCGAUUCACUGCCGCUCUCGGUUAAGAGAACCUUGAUCACUGCAUCACAUCGUAGUAAGAAGUGGAAUGGAAGAAAAUGUGAAUGUUAAUGAUGUUGUUGUCUAAUCAAUUAUUUUAUUCAACGCUGAAAAGUUUUGAAUAUCUUGCUCACUUAGAAUGGUUAGUUCAAUUUUAAUUAGAAUGCUAAAACUUGAAAGUAAUGAUCCACUUUUAGUUGCUUUUGGAAAAACAAACCCCUCAGCCAAAAGCCUUGCAUACUAGGAGUCGGCUAAGUAUAUACCAUAGUCGGGUAAGACUUGCGAAGUAUUAGUAUAUUCAGCUUUGCUUGUUGAUUAC